Molecule: ribosomal RNA, 253 nt
Filed under: uncultured bacterium
Lineage: Bacteria
Description: partial 16S ribosomal RNA
Rfam family: Bacterial small subunit ribosomal RNA
Source: RNAcentral
UACGUAGGGUGCAAGCGUUAAUCGGAAUUACUGGGCGUAAAGCGUGCGCAGGCGGCUUUGCAAGACAGAUGUGAAAUCCCCGGGCUUAACCUGGGAACUGCAUUUGUGACUGCAAGGCUAGAGUUUGGCAGAGGGGGGUAGAAUUCCACGUGUAGCAGUGAAAUGCGUAGAUAUGUGGAGGAACACCGAUGGCGAAGGCAGCCCCCUGGGUCAAAACUGACGCUCAUGCACGAAAGCGUGGGGAGCAAACAGG